GAACCUAUAGGAUAUAUGAAAAGGGAUUUAUUAGGGAGAAUUGGCUCACAUGAUUACAGAGGUGAGAAAGUCCCUUGAUGGGCCAUCAGCAAGCUGGAGAACCAGAAAUGCUGGUAGCAUGGCUCAGGACAAGUCUAGAAGCCUCAGAACCAGGGAAGCCCAUGAUGCAGCCCCAGUUCGAGGCCAAAGGCCAGACAGUCCCCUGGAGGAUGCUGGUGCAAGUCCCAGAGUCUAAAAGCCAAAGAAUCUGGAGUCUGAUGUCCAGGGGCUGGAAGAGGAAAGAGAGCUCAUUAGGUUUAAAGUCAUGAGGAUGGAGCCCCCAUAAUGGGAUUGGUGCCUUUAUAAGAAGAGGAAGAGACCAGAGCUCACUGUCUUUCUGCCAUGUAAGGAUACAUCAAGAAUGCAGCCCUGAAAUGAGGGUGCUGUAGCUGGGUUGGCAACCUCAGUUUUCUUGGGAUAAGAAAGCAGUUCCCACAGUGAAAAGGUGUCUUUUUAACCCCUGGAAGGUAUAAAUUAAAUACAUAAAUAAUGAAGUCAAUUAAUAGUAAUACAUUUAUGUUAAACUUAGGAAUGAUCUGUAUAUACUUGAUAUUUGUAGGUUUUGUGAUGUGUAAGAGAAUUUGGCAUAUCUGAGAUUACACUGUAAAUAUGUAAUUAAGUAACUGAUUUUUGACUUGUGAUUUUGC
Molecule: long non-coding RNA, 686 nt
Filed under: Homo sapiens (human)
Lineage: Eukaryota; Metazoa; Chordata; Mammalia; Primates; Hominidae
Description: HSALNT0148818
Source: RNAcentral